RNAcentral lists this long non-coding RNA (468 nucleotides) under Brassica napus (rape). Its description in RNAcentral is "long non-coding RNA (BNAP_LNC006523)". The record is from RNAcentral. Lineage: Eukaryota; Viridiplantae; Streptophyta; Magnoliopsida; Brassicales; Brassicaceae.
UUCUCAUAUUUUUUGUCCGGCUGUGUUGUUUGACGGUCUCAAAUACAACUUUUUGGUGUUCUUGGUUGAGGCUAGAGAAAGGAAGGUGUUUUAGUUCUCUUCACCGGUCCAGUCUCAAGUUGGUGGUUUCAUAUCCAUAGCUCUCGUUCUCACGGAGGUUUUGAUAAAUGGUUCGUCGGUGGUGGCGUUUGUCCGGCCAUAUAUGUGGCUGGUGUUUCCAGAUACGUUUUUGCUAUCCCAGUUAGGGAUUAGUCCUUGUUACCUGAUAGAAGCAAUGUAGCGGCUGAAGAGAUUGCCAAAAGUGUUACUCGUGACAAUAGGCGUACGGGGUCCAUCUUGGUUAUCUGACCUCAUCCUUGCUGAGGCGAUUUCAACUAUCAACCAGCAUCCUACAUGAAGCUUGGGUCAAGACAGUCUCCCGGGAGGUCUUCCCUAAUCAAGCUUCCUUGGUUAGCUUCAUCUGCAGAA